Small nucleolar RNA from Girardinichthys multiradiatus, 70 nucleotides. The record is from RefSeq and is a predicted model, not a curated record. Lineage: Eukaryota; Metazoa; Chordata; Actinopteri; Cyprinodontiformes; Goodeidae.
AACAGAAAUGAUGAUUGUCUUGAUACCGCCCCAGUCUGACAACUAGUGACUGAUUGGUAUACCCUCUGAU